Molecule: ribosomal RNA, 367 nt
Filed under: uncultured organism
Description: bacterial LSU rRNA
Rfam family: Bacterial large subunit ribosomal RNA
Source: RNAcentral
CUUUACUGUAGCCUGGUAUUGGGUUCGGGCUUUGACUGCGCAGGAUAGGUGGGAGACUAUGAAGCAAUCCUUGUGGGGGUUGCUGAGUCAACGGUGAGAUACCACUCUGUCAGAGCUAGAAUUCUAACUAAAUGCCGUUAUCCGGCUUUGGGACAGUAUCAGGUGGGCAGUUUGACUGGGGCGGUCGCCUCCUAAAAGAUAACGGAGGCGCGCAAAGGUUCCCUCAGGCCCGUUGGAAAUGGGUCGUAGAGUGCAAAGGCAGAAGAGAGCUUGACUGCAAGAGCUACAACUCGAGCAGGGUGGAAACACGGCCUUAGUGAUCCGACGGCGCUGAGUGGAAGGGCCGUCGCUCAACGGAUAAAAGUUA